UCGAUUUGCAUAUUAGCCUUUUAUUAUAUAGGAAGGAUUGCAUUCUUCUUAACCUUUUUUAUUUUCCAACUAAAAACUAAACAGGGAUUUUAGACCUAAGUACUCUCCUUAUAUACCUACUUUUGGUGUCAUUUUCCCUGAAGAGAGUAAUUUUCAUUUGGUUUGCAGAUAGCUGUGCUUGUGGAAUGAAGGUUCAGUAGAAAAAUGUCUUAUAGAAUAAGGUUCUCCUACUGCAUUCUCUCCUUAACCUUUCCUCUGUAGAGGAGGAGGAUGUUUAUUUCAUUACCAGUCAUUUUUUAGAUUGUUUUGUUUAUUUUUCAUGGACCAUGGAUCAUUUCAACAUGAAAUGGAUGAAAGUAACCUCCUUUCUUCACCUUCAGAAACAACUGCCUAUUAAAAGCACAGUCCAUCCGGAACACCAACCAGUAUAAAGCCCCUUCUUCAGAUCCUGAACCCGAGCCACAAAUGGACCAGCAUUCACAAAAAGAGGAUAACCAGGAGGGCUGCCACAUGAACAUGUUCCAACGUACGGCAUUUUCGGAUGUGGACGUUGCCAGAGUCAUCACUCCAGAUGCUUUUGUCUGUCGAACCAUUUGCACCUAUCGCCCCAACUGCCUCUUCUUCACUUUCCAUACUGACGCCUGGAAUGCAGAAUCGCAA
Long non-coding RNA from Myotis myotis, 660 nucleotides. RefSeq lists it as uncharacterized. NCBI's taxonomy places the organism in Eukaryota, Metazoa, Chordata, Mammalia, Chiroptera, Vespertilionidae. The transcript is spliced from 3 exons. The record is from RefSeq and is a predicted model, not a curated record.